Podarcis lilfordi (Lilford's wall lizard) is the source of this 71-nucleotide non-coding RNA. NCBI's taxonomy places the organism in Eukaryota, Metazoa, Chordata, Lepidosauria, Squamata, Lacertidae. The record is from the annotation of a GenBank genome assembly.
GUCCAUCAGCAGUGGGUCAGUGCAUCUGGCUGUUAACCAGAAGGCUGGUGGUUCGAGUCUACCCAAGGACA